UUACGGCCACAUCACGGUGAAACAUUGGUUCCCAUACGAUCAUCGAAGUUAGGCAACGUCGAGAUUUGUCAUUACUUCGAUGGGUGACCGCUUGUGAAUGCCAGGUGCUAUAA
Non-coding RNA from Acanthosepion pharaonis, 113 nucleotides. NCBI's taxonomy places the organism in Eukaryota, Metazoa, Mollusca, Cephalopoda, Sepiida, Sepiidae. The record is from the annotation of a GenBank genome assembly.